This 223-nucleotide long non-coding RNA is filed under the name Hordeum vulgare. RNAcentral's name for it is "long non-coding RNA (HVUL_LNC011097)". Lineage: Eukaryota; Viridiplantae; Streptophyta; Magnoliopsida; Poales; Poaceae. The record is from RNAcentral.
CCUCCUUCUCCUUCUCCUUCUUCUUUUCUUCUUCUUCUCCUCUUCCUUCUCCUUCUCCUCCUCCUCCUCCUCCUCCUCCUUCUUUUACUUCUUCUUCUCUUUCUCUUCUUCUACGUAGCUUAGACUUAUCCAAGAAAGCCUAAAUUGGCUAAUUAUCCAUCUAAAUGACAUAAUUAGGUUAGUUAGCUCCAAAAUGACCUAUUUAAUAAAAAAUGACCUAUAC